This 21-nucleotide non-coding RNA is filed under the name Arabidopsis thaliana (thale cress). Lineage: Eukaryota; Viridiplantae; Streptophyta; Magnoliopsida; Brassicales; Brassicaceae. The record is from RNAcentral.
CGAAGCUUCUCCGGCGUCCCU